Molecule: long non-coding RNA, 1164 nt
Filed under: Homo sapiens (human)
Lineage: Eukaryota; Metazoa; Chordata; Mammalia; Primates; Hominidae
Description: non-protein coding lnc-SRY-15:1
Source: RNAcentral
AUGCCUGGCCAUUUACAGGAAUGCUUCACCUGCAUGGUCAUCAGCCCAUUUAACCAGUUCUUUGAAGACGAAUUGGACCCAUUCAAGGUGCUGAAGGCAGCUGAGAACUAGAGAAAAUAAGCCAACGGGGGUGUCACUGGGGGAGCUGGGGCCAAAAGCUCAUCUCAGGCCAUGGCCCAGACCAACUCCAAUGCCACGGACAAACAGUUGUAUAAAGAGUCUCAGAAAGACAGCAAGAACCCACUUGCCCCAAAAGUUGGCAUGGUUGGCAAGAGGACAUAUAGUGCCCAUGGAGGUUAAGAAAGAAGGAAUAAGGUGAAUUGGAAGAAGACCCAAUCAACAACUGCAAGGUGAAGGGAAAAUAAUUGAGAUAAGACGGGGAAGGGCAACCACCUCAUGAAGGAAGAUUUGAAAAACCACUUGAAAAGGGUGAAAGAGGAAAAUUUUAUCUGAUAGACCUAUCAUUGACCAACCCAUUCGAGGCUGUGGUGGCCUUGGAAGAAGUAGAGAGGGCUGUCAAAGUGAAAUGGGCCAAGGGUAUGGAUUUUAUUUUUAUGGUAAAUGUGAAUUUGAUAGGCAUGCUGGUAGGCAUGCUGGAAGGCAUAGAUCUAGCCUGAAGCACAAGGACAAACAUGGAGGUAGUGGAUUUUACAACUGGGGAACUGUGAAUGAUAAGUUAACUGACUUGGAUUAAUCAAAUAUGACCUAGGAAACACCUGAAGGUGAAGAACUUCCAGUGGCAGACACUGAAAAUAAGGAGAAGGAAGUUUAAGAGGUAAAAAAGAGGGUCCAAAAGAGAUGACUUUGGAUAAGUGGAAUGCUAUUCAAAAUAAGGACUGGCCAAAAGUAGAAUUUAAUAUCCAAAAACAAAACAAAGGUACUGAUUGAUGGGCACUGGAAGAAGAGAUGUGCGCUUCAUAAAUCAAAGAGUAAAGAGAUUCAUGCUGAACUUGUCAUUAAGGACCAUCGUUUCUGAAAGCCAGCAAAUGAUAAAAUGUCUCAGCGGGAGAUCAAUUUUGGAGACCUCGGCCCUGGAGGACUUGGUGGGAGGGGAAGACAAGGUGAAUGUGUGGUGGACCUCAGAACCUCAGCAGCAGGACUGACAAGUCAGGUGCUUCUGUUCCUGAUAUGGAUGACCCAGAGGCAUUUCCAGCUCUGGCUUAA